This 460-nucleotide ribosomal RNA is filed under the name uncultured bacterium. RNAcentral's name for it is "partial 16S ribosomal RNA". It matches the Rfam family "Bacterial small subunit ribosomal RNA", at positions 338 to 795 of the family's 1533-position model. The record is from RNAcentral.
CCUACGGGAGGCAGCAGUGAGGAAUAUUGGUCAAUGGGCUUACGCCUGAACCAGCCAAGUCGCGUGAGGGAAGACUGCCCUAUGGGUUGUAAACCUCUUUUGCCGGGGAGCAACGGGCGUCACGUGUGGCGCCACUGAGAGUACCCGGAGAAAAAGCAUCGGCUAACUCCGUGCCAGCAGCCGCGGUAAUACGGAGGAUGCGAGCGUUAUCCGGAUUUAUUGGGUUUAAAGGGUGCGCAGGCGGUCUGUUAAGUCAGCGGUCAAAGCCCGGGGCUCAACCCCGGCCCGCCGUUGAAACUGGCAGUCUCGAGUUGGAGAGAAGUAUGCGGAAUGCGCGGUGUAGCGGUGAAAUGCAUAGAUAUCGCGCAGAACUCCGAUUGCGAAGGCAGCGUGCCGGCUCCACACUGACGCUGAGGCACGAAAGCGUGGGUAUCGAACAGGAUUAGAUACCCUUGUAGUC